Molecule: ribosomal RNA, 436 nt
Filed under: Tmarus piger
Lineage: Eukaryota; Metazoa; Arthropoda; Arachnida; Araneae; Thomisidae
Description: partial 16S ribosomal RNA
Rfam family: Bacterial large subunit ribosomal RNA (bases 166-436)
Source: RNAcentral
CGNGGAAUCUGCUCAUGUAAAUUAAUAGCCGCAAACCGUGCUAAGGUAGCAUAAUCAUUUGUCUUUUAAUUAAAGACUAGAACAAAAGAUUUAACAUUUUAAUAAAUAUUAUAGUUUAUAAAUUUAAAUUAUUUUUAAUGUAAAAAAACAUUAAUUUAUAAAAAAGACGAUAAGACCCUAUUGAACUUUACUUUAGUUAAACUGGGGCAGUUAAUUAAUUAUUAUUUUAAUCACAUAAUAAUUAUAAAUGUUCUAAUAUAAUUAAUUUAAUGACUAAGUUACCAUAGGGAUAACAGUGUAAUAUUAUUUUAAAGAUCUUAUUUAAAAUAAUGAUUGCAACCUCGAUGUUGACUUAAUAACCUUAAUUACGCAGUAGUAAUUGUAGGAAGUCUGUUCGACCUUUAAAUAAUUACAUGAUCUGAGCAAAACCCGGAGA